Long non-coding RNA from Oxyura jamaicensis (ruddy duck), 464 nucleotides. RefSeq lists it as uncharacterized. NCBI's taxonomy places the organism in Eukaryota, Metazoa, Chordata, Aves, Anseriformes, Anatidae. The record is from RefSeq and is a predicted model, not a curated record. The transcript is spliced from 2 exons.
GUCUAUGUCUCCUGCUUGUGUUUUCUGACCCUGCAUCUUCAUGCACAACGGAGCAAGACACAAGCUUGGGAGAUGGAAGUUCUAAUGCAAACAGAGUCUCCCAUGCAUGAGACUCAGACCAAGAAGAGUGAGAAAUGGAGUAUUGGAUGUACUUUAAGACUAAAGCACCUUCUGCAGUCCUGAAGGGUGAAGAACAGACACUGUGAUACAGUCGUUGUGGUUUAUUGAUCCUAUUAACAUUAUCUUGUGGUAAAUCAAUGCUAGAGUUUCAGUCUUGCAGGAGACAUGAAAAUGAGAAGAUGAAAAAACAUGCCAAGGGAAAUGGUUUCCUGAUGGGAAGAGAGAUGAGCAUAAACAACAGGAUCAAGGCAUGUGUAGAGCAAAGAGAGGACUGAGUGUGGGGCCUUGCCAAAAGUCAUCCUUGGUGUUCAACGUGGACCUCUGAAAGCCUCUUCACUAUCUGG